Non-coding RNA from Podarcis lilfordi (Lilford's wall lizard), 70 nucleotides. Lineage: Eukaryota; Metazoa; Chordata; Lepidosauria; Squamata; Lacertidae. The record is from the annotation of a GenBank genome assembly.
GUCUGUGGGAUAGCUCAGUCAGUAGAGCAUGAGACUCUUAAGGUUGUGGCUUCAAGCUCCACUUUAGGCA